UACGAAGGGGGCUAGCGUUGCUCGGAAUCACUGGACGUAAAGCGCACGUAGGCGGCUUCUUAAGUCAGGGGUGAAAUCCUGGAGCUCAACUCCAGAACUGCCUUUGAUACUGAGAAGCUUGAGUCCGGGAGAGGUGAGUGGAACUGCGAGUGUAGAGGUGAAAUUCGUAGAUAUUCGCAAGAACACCAGUGGCGAAGGCGGCUCACUGGCCCGGAACUGACGCUGAGGUGCGAAAGCGUGGGGAGCAAACAGG
This 253-nucleotide ribosomal RNA is filed under the name uncultured bacterium. RNAcentral describes it as "partial 16S ribosomal RNA". It matches the Rfam family "Bacterial small subunit ribosomal RNA", at positions 524 to 776 of the family's 1533-position model. The record is from RNAcentral.